Molecule: non-coding RNA, 205 nt
Filed under: Shimia gijangensis
Lineage: Bacteria; Pseudomonadati; Pseudomonadota; Alphaproteobacteria; Rhodobacterales; Roseobacteraceae
Source: RNAcentral
CCUAACACUGUCCUGGAUGGUUCCCCGAUGGUUUCGGCCAGACGGGAAAAGGGAACACGGUGCGGCCCACUUGGCCAAUUCCGCGACUGCCCCCGCAACUGUAAGCGGCGAGCGACCCUGAGACAGCCACUGGCCAAUUGGCCGGGAAGGCUCAGGCAAGCAUCGACCCGCAAGUCAGGAGACCUGCCAUCAUCAACUGUAACCA